UGUAUUAAUACAGUUCUCUCUUCUCCGUUUGGGUUCGCUCCUCUCUAGUUUUCGAGAGGCAAUUAUUCCGUGGAAUACUUGCGGAGAGACUAGUGAUUUUUUUAGGUGUGGUUUUCUCUAUUUCGAGUUGUUUCACUAGGGAUUAGGGUUCUUUGGAUAGGAUAGAGGUGUCUCUGGUGCCGUUGGACCGAGUUUGAACGUCCGUGUUUUUGCCUCCUUUUGUUAAGAAGGUGUGGAAUAGAAUUUCAGGUCGGAUUUUUGAGAGAGAAAAUGAUGGAUGAUUUAAGGGCAUUGCCCGAGCAUGAAUGGUUCUGUGGUGAACAACGCAACAGGAUUCAUUCACCUCUUUGGAAGUUUCUCGCCGACGGCAAUUUGAAGCUUCCCAAAACUGUUGUGAAGAUUUUGAAGAAGAAAGUUAAGGGCAAAGCUUCAAGGCCGAGCCCAUAUUAAUUCGAAUGCAGCUCUUACUCUCAUCGAUAUUCGGGCUUCUGGAAGAUAAACGGGUGCGAGUUGGUCAUUUUACCUCUUUCUCUCUCAUCCUACUGCACAUUAAUAAUUGCAGUGAAAAGGUGGUGAUGGAUCUCUAUCCUAAUUGAGUAUUGUAUCAUUUCUUGCCAACAAAACACAAUAGUAAGGAUAUAAAGCAACAAAGUUCUGAGUUGAGAAGAUGGCAGCGGGGUGCAUGAAGCCAUCCAGCUGGGUUGUCGGCUCUGAUGGCAUUGCUUUUUCACAAAUUUUGUUUAUGUUUGUGCUUAGUUGUAUGAAUUUUUCAAGCUUGAUUUUGUAAAUGCUUCUUGAAUUGAAUCUUCGUCCUUAACUCAUUUUAGUUAUAUUUAUGUGAAUCUGAAUUUGAGCUCUUGAUAUG
Andrographis paniculata is the source of this 865-nucleotide long non-coding RNA. RefSeq lists it as uncharacterized. NCBI's taxonomy places the organism in Eukaryota, Viridiplantae, Streptophyta, Magnoliopsida, Lamiales, Acanthaceae. The transcript has 3 exons. The record is from RefSeq and is a predicted model, not a curated record.